This 429-nucleotide ribosomal RNA is filed under the name Bacteroidota bacterium. Its description in RNAcentral is "Bacteroidetes bacterium partial 16S ribosomal RNA". It matches the Rfam family "Bacterial small subunit ribosomal RNA", at positions 355 to 776 of the family's 1533-position model. Lineage: Bacteria; Pseudomonadati; Bacteroidota. The record is from RNAcentral.
UAGGGAAUCUUCCGCAAUGGACGCAAGUCUGACGGAGCAACGCCGCGUGAGUGAAGAAGGAUUUCGGUUCGUAAAACUCUGUUGUUAGAGAAGAACAGCGCAUAGAGUAACUGUUAUGCGUGUGACGGUAUCUAACCAGAAAGCCACGGCUAACUACGUGCCAGCAGCCGCGGUAAUACGUAGGUGGCAAGUGUUGUCCGGAUUUAUUGGGCGUAAAGCGAGCGCAGGCGGUCAAUUAAGUCUGAUGUGAAAGCCCCCGGCUCAACCGGGGAGGGUCAUUGGAAACUGGUUGACUUGAGAGCAGAAGAGGAGAGUGGAAUUCCAUGUGUAGCGGUGAAAUGCGUAGAUAUAUGGAGGAACACCAGUGGCGAAGGCGACUCUCUGGUCUGUAACUGACGCUGAGGCUCGAAAGCGUGGGUAGCAAACAGG